RNAcentral lists this long non-coding RNA (727 nucleotides) under Chinchilla lanigera (long-tailed chinchilla). Its description in RNAcentral is "lncRNA (ENSCLAG00000026518.1)". The record is from RNAcentral. Lineage: Eukaryota; Metazoa; Chordata; Mammalia; Rodentia; Chinchillidae.
CUUGGACACAUGAGAUGUGACUUCUGGCUCUCACCUUUUGUAUUUAUAAAACAGAGCAUUGAAAUAAACGAAAUAGCUCAUGUGGACACUGCCGACAGUCGAUGGACCAGGAAUGCUUGUGGAAUCUUCAUCUGACAUGAGUCAUGAGUUAGAUGCUUCCUGCUGCUGGGCAGUGGGCAGCGCCAGCCUUCUCGUAGAGCUGCCUCCUCUGUGCAGCAUCCACCGAGGUGAGGUGCCCACGAGACCUCCCACUGAGCACCUGCAUCUCAGUCCUCAGAUAAACACAGACAGGGCAGAGAGAUGUCCCACUCCUUCCUGGGAGGAGCCUCACAUUAAGGAGACCAAGAUGAGACAGAGGGGGAUCUGGGAGUGGAGAUGGGGCUCCAGAAGACUCAGUGACUCUGGGUUAUGAAGGGUGAAGAGGAGCACCUGGGGCUGACUGAACUCCUGGGGGAAGGCACGGUGCCUUGUUCCAUUACAAUCAGCAGAAGAGAAUGGCCAAUUGUUAAGAGAGUUUAGAGUACCAUCAACCUAACAGCUGCCACAUGAUGUGGAGGGUGACUAUCUCUUUUAUGACACACCACUCUUCCCAAGCAGCAGGGGUAAGCAAGACGGGAGUCAUAACUCCUGUGCACUGCUGUGUGCUCAGCUCUUGGUUGUGUGGUCAUUGAGCCCUCACACGCAUCCGGAGAGGUGGUUCUCAUGCUAAAGCAUCAUGGUCAUUAAG